Molecule: ribosomal RNA, 468 nt
Filed under: uncultured bacterium
Lineage: Bacteria
Description: partial 16S ribosomal RNA
Rfam family: Bacterial small subunit ribosomal RNA
Source: RNAcentral
GACGAACGCUGGCGGCGUGCUUAACACAUGCAAGUCGAACGGAAAGGCCCUGCUUUUGUGGGGUGCUCGAGUGGCGAACGGGUGAGUAACACGUGAGUAACCUGCCCUUGACUUUGGGAUAACUUCAGGAAACUGGGGCUAAUACAGGAUAGGAGCUCCUGCUGCAUGGUGGGGGUUGGAAAGUUUCGGCGGUUGGGGAUGGACUCGCGGCUUAUCAGCUUGUUGGUGGGGUAGUGGCUUACCAAGGCUUUGACGGGUAGCCGGCCUGAGAGGGUGGCCGGCGACAAUAGUACUGAGGUAGGGCCCAGACGCCUACGGGAGGCAGCGGUGGAGAGUAUUACACAGUGGGCGGGAGUCUGAUGCGACGGCGCUGCGUGCGGAAUGACGUCCUUCGGGUUAUAAACCGCUGUCGCCUGUGACGAAGCGUGAGUGACGGUAAUGAGUAAAGAAGCACCGGCUAACUACGUG